AUUGUUGAUCCUGGCUCAGGAAUGAACGCUAGCGGCAGGCCUAAUACAUGCAAAGUCGAGCGGCAAGUCGAGGAGUAAUCUAAGACCUAGAGCGGCGCACGGGUGCGUAACGCGUAUGCAACCUACCUCAUACAGGGGGAUAGCCCGGAGAAAUCUGGAUUAAUACCCCAUGGUACUGCGAAGAGGCAUUUCUAUGCAGUUAAAGAUUCAUCGGUAUGAGAUGGGCAUGCGUCUGAUUAGCUGUUGGCGGUGUAACGGACCACCAAGGCGACGAUCAGUAGGGGUUCUGAGAGGAAGGUCCCCCACACUGGCACUGAGAUACGGGCCAGACUCCUACGGGAGGCAGCAGUAGGGAAUAUUGGGCAAUGGACGAGAGUCUGACCCAGCCAUGCCGCGUGCAGGAAGACGGCGUUCUGCGUUGUAAACUGCUUUAUCUGGGAAGAAAAGGCCCAUGCGUGGGACAUUGCCGGUACCAGAUGAAUAAGCACCGGCUAACUCCGUGCCAGCAGCCGCGGUAAUACGGAGGGUGCAAGCGUUGUCCGGAUUUAUUGGGUUUAAAGGGUGCGUAGGCGGCUAUUUAAGUCAGCGGUGAAAGACAUCGGCUCAACCGAUGCAGUGCCAUUGAUACUGGAUAGCUUGAGUGUUGGAGGGGUACAUGGAAUUGAUGGUGUAGCGGUGAAAUGCAUAGAUACCAUCAGGAACACCGAUAGCGAAGGCAUUGUACUGGCCAACAACUGACGCUGAGGCACGAAAGCAUGGGGAGCGAACAGGAUUAGAUACCCUGGUAGUCCAUGCCGUAAACGA
This 804-nucleotide ribosomal RNA is filed under the name uncultured bacterium. RNAcentral describes it as "bacterial SSU rRNA". It matches the Rfam family "Bacterial small subunit ribosomal RNA", at positions 1 to 809 of the family's 1533-position model. The record is from RNAcentral.